UUUCUGUGCUCGCCCGCGGCGCGGAGCAUGGCGUCCCCGAGAGCUGGAGCAUGGGAGGCGGUUGUGGCGUGGGAUCUAGGGUGUCUGCAGCGGACUCGGCGGCCCUGUGAGGCGCUCGGCCCGCCGGACCCCGCGUGAAGCUGGUCGCUGUGGAAGCCGAGCGCCGUUUGGGAUGUAGAUCUCCGCCAUAAGCCCAGGCACAGAACUGGGCGGGAAUAAAGCGAAGACCCAGGUCACACGGUGGGUACCUGAAGCUGACGGAUAUUUCCUGAACGACACACGGGAGCACAGAGUGGUUUAAGGAUGUCCUUGAUUUGGAAAUUUGAUCUACAGAAGCACGAGUGAUUUAAAUUUUCUAGGGGCCGUGUCAAAACUCCAUAGAUGAAUGCUCAUUUGUAACAAGGCUAUGAAUAAAUGCUUUGAUGUGCUGUUC
Molecule: long non-coding RNA, 433 nt
Filed under: Mus caroli (Ryukyu mouse)
Lineage: Eukaryota; Metazoa; Chordata; Mammalia; Rodentia; Muridae
Description: lncRNA (MGP_CAROLIEiJ_G0005252.1)
Source: RNAcentral